AGAGAGUGCAAGCGUUAAUCGGAAUUACUGGGCGUAAAGCGCACGUAGGUUGAUGCUAUAGUCGGAUGUGAAAGGCCUGGGCUUAACCUAGGAAUUGCACCCGAUACUGGGCGUCUAGAGUAUAGUAGAGGGAAGUGGAAUUUCCGGUGUAGCGGUGAAAUGCGUAGAUAUCGGAAAGAACACCAGUGGCGAAGGCGACUUCCUGGACUAAUACUGACACUGAGGUGCGAAAGCGUGGGGAGCAAACAGGGAUUAGAGACCCUGGUAGUCCACGCCGUCAACGAUGAGAACUAGACGUUGGAGAGUUUAUCUCUUUAGUGUCGAAGCUAACGCGUUAAGUUCUCCGCCUGGGGAGUACGGCCGCAAGGUUA
Molecule: ribosomal RNA, 371 nt
Filed under: uncultured organism
Description: partial 16S ribosomal RNA
Rfam family: Bacterial small subunit ribosomal RNA
Source: RNAcentral